Molecule: long non-coding RNA, 651 nt
Organism: Labrus mixtus (cuckoo wrasse)
Lineage: Eukaryota; Metazoa; Chordata; Actinopteri; Labriformes; Labridae
Exons: 2
Source: RefSeq, a predicted model, not a curated record
AGAACUUAGUAAACACACUCUGGUUUCAAGUAUCAGUACUACAUAGACUUUAUGUCCUCUGUAUUUUGGAAACGUCUUAUCGUCAUUAUUUUGUCCACCAUGACCUUGUUUCUGAUUGGAGCUGCAGCAGUGAUGCCUUCACUGACCCCUCUUUGUGUUGUGUUUCAGGCACAGAGUUUGUGCGUCCGGUCGUCGGUUAUUUCUGUAAUUUGUGUCAGCUGAUCUACGCUGACGAGGACGAAGCCAAACAGCAGCACUGCAGCAGCCUGGAGCACUACAGGAAAUAUCAGGAAAAGACGGGGAAAGAUCCGUGGGCGAGCUGAAUCAACUUCAUGUAACUUAAAUCAAAAUGUAACUUGUGGUUUUAUCUUCUAAUUUAUCCCAAAAGUUUAUUGGAAUACUUGUUCGUGUCAGAUGUGACCUCUGUUGGUUUAACUUUACUGUUCUAGUGAAGAUUCAGUAUUACUCGAGGAACCUGCAGCAAGGUUUGAAACCCUGAUGUCAUUUUUAGUUUCUUUAUGUUGGAAAACGAGGCGCCACGUGUUCUGUAAAGGCUAGAAGUUAAUAUUUAAGUUAUUUAAAUAAUAAGUUCCUUCUUGUUAAUUGUUUGUUUAAAAACUGUAAAUAAACAGUUUAAUAAUUCACAACAAA